GACUCUGCUGUCUCCCCCUCACUCUCUUAAUGCGGCCGCAUGCUUCCCAACUGAAAAAGUUUGCUACACAAGUUUCUGCUUCAUGUUGAUUCAACCCGAAACUCAGUGUGGAUUCAACAUGGCUAAUGACAACUUCGAGCAUCGAUUGACCGAGGACGUACAAAAGUACCUUCACAAGUACGAUUAUAGCCAUGAAUUAUGUAAAGACCUGCAUUAAAUGCCAAUUCGUGUAGGGUUUGCGACAAGUUCGUCAUGGCAAAGAAAAGAAGCAAGGGCCACAGUGGAGAUGCUGGUGGAAAGGCUACUCAAGAAAUUCCUUGUUCAGCACAUGAUGCAUGGGAAGACUGAAAGCAACAUGCUGUCUUCACCAAAGGAUGGGGCACAAACAUGAGUGAAUGGAAACAGCACCUGGUUUUGUUCUCUGUGCCCCAGCACUGCCUGUUCACCAGUCCCAAGCACUACUUCUGCCCCCAGUAGAUUGGUGAUUGGCCCCCAGCUCAUCUCCUGCACUGAGAUGCAGUGCAGAAUUAGAAAUAAUCUUCAUGCUGAACCUGGGAAGCUCUAUCCUGGGCCCACCUCCAAGACCUACUCCACUGUCUUGCUCCUCACCGACGCCUCAGAGCAACAGCAGUAGUAGCAGGUGUGUGAGAAGGGAGAAAAGGGCUGCAGACUCAGUUAUUGACAUGUCACUCGUAAAGGCAAGACAUAUCUCAAGAUCUGGAGAACGUCAUGUACCGAGCCACCAGCUUGUCCCAGAGGGUCCUGGCACCUAUUGCUGAUUUCAUGGAUGAACUCUCGCCAAAACUCUGGGAGGAAUUCAAUCACCAGCUGCAUGAGUUCAUGCAUGACUUCAAGAAGAGGACAUGGACUGAACGACUGGGACCACAGUGAAAUUAACAACUUGUUCUGUUGUUAUUCAGACAUUUCUGGACUCAGACACUAGACACUUUCAUUGUGUUUCAUGGACACUUUUGCUGUUUACAUGUCUGUUCAUAGCAGACACUGUUGUACUAUUGCUCAGAAAGAUUUGACACUACACUCUGGCACUUACAUUUGAUUCCAUAGACACUUGUUUGCAUGUCUUUUCUCAGCAGACACGUUCUAUUACAGUUUAUUUUUAGAAGCAAGAAUAAAGGUUGAU
Molecule: long non-coding RNA, 1141 nt
Organism: Oncorhynchus kisutch (coho salmon)
Lineage: Eukaryota; Metazoa; Chordata; Actinopteri; Salmoniformes; Salmonidae
Exons: 3
Source: RefSeq, a predicted model, not a curated record